Mycena latifolia is the source of this 94-nucleotide non-coding RNA. The record is from the annotation of a GenBank genome assembly. Lineage: Eukaryota; Fungi; Basidiomycota; Agaricomycetes; Agaricales; Mycenaceae.
GCCCUCGUAGAUCAACGGUUAGAUCGUCCUCACUUCAUCUAUUGUAAUCCAGAGCCUUUGGAGGAAGUCGCGGGUUCGACUCCCGCCGAGGGCA